GAUGAAGAACGCAGCGAAAUGCGAUAAGUAAUGUGAAUUGCAGAAUUCAGUGAAUCAUCGAAUCUUUGAACGCACAUUGCGCCCCCUGGUAUUCCGGGGGGCAUGCCUGUCCGAGCGUCAUUACAACCCUCAAGCUCUGCUUGGUGUUGGGCCCCGCCGCCCCGGCGGGCCCUAAAGUCAGUGGCGGUGCCAUCCGGCUCCGAGCGUAGUAAUUCUUCUCGCUCUGGAGGUCCGGUUGUGUGCUUGCCAUCAACCCCCAAUUUUUCUAUGGUUGACCUCGGAUCAGGUAGGGAUACCCGCUGAACUUAAGCAUAUCAAUAAGCGGAGGA
This 329-nucleotide unclassified non-coding RNA is filed under the name soil metagenome. Its description in RNAcentral is "partial contains 5.8S ribosomal RNA, internal transcribed spacer 2, and large subunit ribosomal RNA". The stretch from base 1 to 120 matches the Rfam family "5.8S ribosomal RNA", at positions 35 to 154 of the family's 154-position model. The record is from RNAcentral.